GGAAUCUUCCACAAUGGGCGCAAGCCUGAUGGAGCAACGCCGCGUGUGUGAUGAAGGGUUUCGGCUCGUAAAACACUGUUAUAAGAGAAGAACGGCACUGAGAGUAACUGUUCAGUGUGUGACGGUAUCUUACCAGAAAGGAACGGCUAAAUACGUGCCAGCAGCCGCGGUAAUACGUAUGUUCCAAGCGUUAUCCGGAUUUAUUGGGCGUAAAGCGAGCGCAGACGGUUAUUUAAGUCUGAAGUGAAAGCCCUCAGCUCAACUGAGGAAUUGCUUUGGAAACUGGAUGACUUGAGUGCAGUAGAGGAAAGUGGAACUCCAUGUGUAGCGGUGAAAUGCGUAGAUAUAUGGAAGAACACCAGUGGCGAAGGCGGCUUUCUGGACUGUAACUGACGUUGAGGCUCGAAAGUGUGGGUAGCAAACA
RNAcentral lists this ribosomal RNA (424 nucleotides) under uncultured Weissella sp. RNAcentral's name for it is "bacterial SSU rRNA". It matches the Rfam family "Bacterial small subunit ribosomal RNA", at positions 358 to 774 of the family's 1533-position model. The record is from RNAcentral. Lineage: Bacteria; Bacillati; Bacillota; Bacilli; Lactobacillales; Lactobacillaceae.